This 2905-nucleotide ribosomal RNA is filed under the name Clostridium perfringens. Its description in RNAcentral is "23S ribosomal RNA". It matches the Rfam family "Bacterial large subunit ribosomal RNA". Lineage: Bacteria; Bacillati; Bacillota; Clostridia; Eubacteriales; Clostridiaceae. The record is from RNAcentral. RNAcentral also lists the same sequence under 1 other name.
GGUCAAGCUACAAAGGGCGCAUGGUGAAUGCCUUGGCAUCAGGAGCCGAUGAAGGACGUGAUAAGCUGCGAUAAGCUUCGGGUAGGCGCACAUAGCCUGAGAUCCGAAGAUCUCCGAAUGAGGAAACUCACAUGGGAAACCCCAUGUAUCAUUAAGUGAAUACAUAGCUUAAUGAAGGUAACCCAGGGAACUGAAACAUCUAAGUACCUGGAGGAAGAGAAAGAAAAAUCGAUUUUCUUAGUAGCGGCGAGCGAAAGGGAAAGAGCCCAAACCGGAAACUUGUUUCCGGGGUUGUGGACAUAGCAUAAAAGUGGAGGCUAUUGUAACUGAAGAGAACUGGAAAGUUCCACCGUAGAAGGUAAUAGUCCUGUAAGUGAAACGAGAAGACCACGAGUUAUGAUCCAGAGUACCACGAGACACGUGAAACCUUGUGGGAAGCAGGGAGGACCACCUCCCAAGGCUAAAUACUACCUGAUGACCGAUAGUGAAGCAGUACCGUGAGGGAAAGGUGAAAAGAACCCCGGGAGGGGAGUGAAAUAGAACCUGAAACCGUGUGCCUACAACCGCUCAGAGCCCCUUAUGAGGGUGAUGAGGUGCUUUUUGUAGAACGAGCCAACGAGUUACGGUAUGUAGCAAGGUUAAGUACUUAAGGUACGGAGCCGAAGGGAAACCGAGUCUGAAUAGGGCGACUAGUUGCAUGCCGUAGACCCGAAACCGGGUGACCUAUCCAUGGCCAGGUUGAAGCGAGGGUAAAACCUCGUGGAGGACCGAACCACGUUGCUGUUGAAAAAGCAUGGGAUGAGCUGUGGAUAGCGGAGAAAUUCCAAUCGAACCCGGAGAUAGCUGGUUCUCUCCGAAAUAGCUUUAGGGCUAGCGUCGAGUAUGAGUAGUGGAGGUAGAGCACUGAAUGGGCUAGGGGGCAUAGCGCUUACCGAACCUUAUCAAACUCCGAAUGCCACAUACUUUGAGCUCGGCAGUCAGACUACGAAUGAUAAGAUCCGUGGUCAAAAGGGAAACAGCCCAGAUCGUCAGCUAAGGUCCCAAAGUGUAAGUUAAGUGGGAAAGGAUGUGAGAUUUCUAAGACAACUAGGAUGUUGGCUUAGAAGCAGCCAUUCAUUAAAAGAGUGCGUAAUAGCUCACUAGUCGAGAGAUCUUGCGCCGAAAAUGUAACGGGGCUAAACUUACCACCGAAGCUACGGGCUUGAACUUAGUUCAAGCGGUAGGAGAGCGUCGUAACCGGGCUGAAGUCGUACCGUAAGGAGCGGUGGACUGGUUACGAGUGAGAAUGUUGGCAUCAGUAGCGAGAUGUGGGUGAGAAUCCCACAGGCCGAAAACCUAAGGUUUCCUCAGGAAGGUUCGUCCGCUGAGGGUUAGUCGGGACCUAAGCCGAGGCCGAAAGGCGUAGGUGAUGGACAACUGGUUGAUAUUCCAGUACCACUACCAUCGUUAUUAUCGAUGGCGUGACGCAGGAGGAUAGUGUGUGCUAGCUAUUGGAUGCUAGUCUAAGCGUUUAGGCAGUGAGAGUAGGCAAAUCCGCUCUCAUAAUGCUGAGGCGUGAUGGGGAAGGUUCUACGGAACCGAAGUACAUGAUUCCACGCUGCCAAGAAAAGCGUCUAGAGAGAGAAGUAGUGCCCGUACCGCAAACCGACACAGGUAGGUGAGGAGAGAAUCCUAAGGCCGGCGGAAGAAUUACAGUUAAGGAACUCGGCAAAUUGACCCCGUAAGUUCGCGAGAAGGGGUGCCUACGAGAGUAGGCCGCAGAGAAUAGGCCCAAGCAACUGUUUAGCAAAAACACAGGUCUCUGCUAAAGCGUAAGCUGAUGUAUAGGGGCUGACGCCUGCCCGGUGCUGGAAGGUUAAGGGGAACACUUAGCGCAAGCGAAGGUGUGAACUUAAGCCCCAGUAAACGGCGGCCGUAACUAUAACGGUCCUAAGGUAGCGAAAUUCCUUGUCAGGUAAGUUCUGACCCGCACGAAUGGCGUAAUGACUUGGGCACUGUCUCAACUGUAAAUCCGGCGAAGUUGUAGUGCGAGUGAAGAUGCUCGCUACCCGCGAUUGGACGGAAAGACCCCGUAGAGCUUUACUGUAGCUUAGCAUUGAGUUUUGGUAUUGUCUGUACAGGAUAGGUGGGAGACUAGGAAACCAGGGCGUCAGCCUUGGUGGAGUCAACCUUGGGAUACCACCCUGACAGUACUGAAAUUCUAACUGGCGGCCAUGAAUCUGGUCACAGGACAUUGUUAGGUGGGCAGUUUGACUGGGGCGGUCGCCUCCUAAAAAGUAACGGAGGCGCCCAAAGGUUCCCUCAGAACGGUCGGAAAUCGUUCGAAGAGUGCAAAGGCAGAAGGGAGCCUGACUGCGACACCCACAAGUGGAGCAGGGACGAAAGUCGGGCUUAGUGAUCCGGUGGUACCUCGUGGGAGGGCCAUCGCUCAACGGAUAAAAGCUACCUCGGGGAUAACAGGCUGAUCUCCCCCAAGAGUCCACAUCGACGGGGAGGUUUGGCACCUCGAUGUCGGCUCGUCGCAUCCUGGGGCUGAAGUAGGUCCCAAGGGUUGGGCUGUUCGCCCAUUAAAGCGGCACGCGAGCUGGGUUCAGAACGUCGUGAGACAGUUCGGUCCCUAUCCGUCGCGGGCGUAGGAAAUUUGAGAGGAGCUGUCCUUAGUACGAGAGGACCGGGAUGGACUGACCUCUGGUGUACCAGUUGUUCCGCCAGGAGCACAGCUGGGUAGCUAAGUCGGGAAUGGAUAAACGCUGAAAGCAUCUAAGCGUGAAGCCAACCUCAAGAUGAGAUUUCCCAUAGCGUAAGCUAGUAAGAUCCCUUGAAGAACACAAGGUUGAUAGGUCGGGGGUGUAAGCAUGGUAACAUGUUCAGCUGACCGAUACUAAUAGAUCGAGGGCUUGACCAA